CAAAUGUCUUGUGAAGGUUAGAGUCCGUUUACUUUGUGCAAAAGGAAACUUUACUUUGUACAAAUAACUCAUUUUGCAGACAGAAAUACAUCAAAGGAGUAUCUAACAUUCAAUGAAACGGAUAAACCCCCAAUCAAACAAAUAGGUCAGAUUUACAAUGGAGCUGUUCAGGUUUUCUCUUUAUUCUGCACAGUGUUGCAAUGGACUCAAAUGACUUCAAAGGACUUCUUGAUGGAAACGGUAUAAAUGGAGCUCCCAGGUGAAAUCCAGAACCCACGUCCUCUGAGUGGUAAGUCAAUGAUGGAGGUCCUGGAAGACUUGACCAUUCUAGCAGACUAAAACUACAUUGUUGGAUGGUUCAAUUAUGCUUCAUUUUAUUUGUAAUUCCUAGUAACACUUAAUGUGAAUUGGUUUCUAGAUGUUUAACUAUAUACAGUAUCACUCCAUUGUCCACUAACGACCCACUACU
RNAcentral lists this long non-coding RNA (469 nucleotides) under Oncorhynchus kisutch (coho salmon). Its description in RNAcentral is "lncRNA (ENSOKIG00005036549.1)". The record is from RNAcentral. Lineage: Eukaryota; Metazoa; Chordata; Actinopteri; Salmoniformes; Salmonidae.